This 286-nucleotide RNase P RNA is filed under the name Hyphomicrobiaceae bacterium. RNAcentral describes it as "partial RNase P RNA component class A". It matches the Rfam family "Bacterial RNase P class A", at positions 97 to 367 of the family's 367-position model. Rfam says of the family: Ribonuclease P (RNase P) is a ubiquitous endoribonuclease, found in archaea, bacteria and eukarya as well as chloroplasts and mitochondria. Lineage: Bacteria; Pseudomonadati; Pseudomonadota; Alphaproteobacteria; Hyphomicrobiales; Hyphomicrobiaceae. The record is from RNAcentral.
AACCCCCGGCCAGGGCGUGCAGGUACGCCGGCGCGCCCGCCGGUAAGUGUGAAAGGGUGCGGCAAGAGCGCACCGCGUCGCCGGUAACGGCGGCGGGAGGGUAAACCCCACCGGGAGCAAGACCAAAUAGGGACCGCACGGAGGCAACUCCACUCGCGUUUUCGGAGCAGCGGUCCGGGUUGGUUGCACCAGGCGUUCAGCGAUGGACGUCGCAGAUGAAUGGCCACCGCGUCGCACGUUUCGGCGUGCGGCCCUACAGAACCCGGCUUACAGGUCAACUGGCACU